UAUAACCAGAUACAGUGGGCAGAUAUCCCUAAGCCUCUGAGGACAAAUGCAGAAUUUGCCCAAUUAAACUAGUCACUGAAUAGUCACUGAGAACCCCCUCCCCGAAGCCAGACAGUAUGAGAUCUCCGGCGUGACUCCCGGCAGCGUAGCACCUCCCUGCCAAACAAACAUCAGCUGUAGUGUUGGGUUGACGUUGUGUGAGGUGAGGUGGUUGUAAUGAUGGCACAACCAGCGGAUAUGGUCUUCGACGACCAGGAAGUUGUGAAGUUAUACAAGGAGUCUCGUCCCACACCACCUGAGAACCUCAUCUCUACAGUGGUAGACUUCGUCAAGGAGAAAUUAGUGGAGCCACUACAGCUGUGUGUGGACGUGGGUUGUGGCUCAGGGCAGAACACUAACAUUGUUAACUUCUCACAGGUG
Non-coding RNA from Cherax quadricarinatus, 420 nucleotides. Lineage: Eukaryota; Metazoa; Arthropoda; Malacostraca; Decapoda; Parastacidae. The record is from RefSeq and is a predicted model, not a curated record.